RNAcentral lists this ribosomal RNA (305 nucleotides) under uncultured bacterium. Its description in RNAcentral is "bacterial SSU rRNA". It matches the Rfam family "Bacterial small subunit ribosomal RNA", at positions 337 to 638 of the family's 1533-position model. The record is from RNAcentral.
ACCUACGGGGGGCAGCAGGGAAUUUUCGUCAAUGGGCGCAAGCCUGAACGAGCAAUGCCGCGUGAACGAGGAAGGUCUUCGGAUCGUAAAGUUCUGUUGAAGGGGAAAAAGAGCGGAGAGAGGAAAUGCUUUCUGAUUGAUAUUACCCUUCGAGGAAGUCACGGCUAACUACGUGCCAGCAGCCGCGGUAAUACGUAGGUGGCGAGCGUUAUCCGGAAUGAUUGGGCGUAAAGGGUGCGUAGGCGGCCUGCUAAGUCUGGAGUGAAAGGUACCGGCUCAACCGGUACAGGCUCUGGAAACUGGCG